UAUAUAUAUAUAUAUAUAUAUGCUUAGCAAAAAGAGGUGAUUUUGCUACUUCUACUUAAUUUUUGCUGAAUUUUGAUUUACUUACUGAAGAAAAUCUGUUGCGUUGGCUUGACGUGGAAGGGAUUUAUCCAUGAGAAUGGAAAUGUUUUGGAGUUUAUUUAAGCUGACCUCUUAUUGGCAAAUAUAUUUAAAUGACAGUUCUAUUAAGAGACUAAAUCAGUUUCUGAAGUAGAUCACCUGAAAAAGCUGGAACAGAACAAACUCCAGGAAACUGAGAUCCUUCAGCCUGGGGAGAGUUUGCUGGAGAAGUCAUUUCCCACACCAGCUCCUUCCAUUAGCAUACCUUCCAUCUCUGAACAGAAACAGACUGAGGCUUAGAUGCCUUUGGUACGUUGCUGGGUAAAACCUUGGUAAGAUGACAUUUUGUUUUAACUUUGAGGUUUGCAAACAAGUGAUGAGACCAAGUUAGAUGGCUGUAAUCCCACUGUAGGCUCAUCUUAAUCUCACCUAAUGCAAGUGAGAAAUAGCUAAACAUGAAGGUUGCUCAGAAAGUAUUUUGGGUUUUUUUUUCCCCCUUCUUUCACAAAAUUACUGAUAAUGGCUACUCUAUAGAAGACUUAGUCACUCAGUACGUACAGAUAACAUUAAUGAUUUGCUUUAUUACCAGUUUUCUGAUCCUCCCUUCAAAUGGAAGAACCUGUAUUUCUGCAAUUGUAUUUUCAUUUGUCUUCAGGUAAGGAAAAAAUUCAUUCAGUACAUGAAUUAAGUACAUGAGUUAAACUAGAACCUUUAAUCUAACAUGUUCCCUCCCCAGUAUCCCUUAUUAUGUGAGUUUUGCUUCUCUGCAGUCAUCUUUAAUCAAUGAGUCAGCAGGCUUGCUCUGUGUCUGCUGGUCAGAGCCCAGAACUCAGCUGCUGAAACGUGGGAAGACAGUCUCAAGUUGAGCCCACUUAACAGGCAAAGAGAGACACAUCCUGCCCCUACAUUGUGAAACUGCCCCUCCUAACUGAGAAAAAAUGCUUCUGGAAAUAAAGGACUGCCGUUUGCAAAAUUGAACCUGGAACUUUUGUGAACAUUAGGACGGAAAAAGAAAAGAAAGAGGCGUUAUCCAUUGCAGCUCUUUGUCAAGAGAACAGCCCUGGGUUGCAUUCCUCAAAGAAGACCGCUUUUUGGCACAGGGAGUUAUGGAGCCCUUCUUUCCUGGGGGUCUUCAGGAAACGUCCACACAUGGCUCACAGCACCAGUGCUGAAUAGGCACCAGCCUUACAACAGCUGCAGCUCUGGCCACCAGCAAAGAACACCAGUUUUAAUGCCAGCAUAUAGGAACAAGGUGUUGUGUCACCCUGCUGUAUCUGCUGGCACACUGAUGAAAAAGUGCUGAGAACACAUGGUAACUUCACAGCUGUUUCUAUCGUUGCUGUCAUCCAUCCCUUUUUAUGAAAUGUGGAGAUUCCUUCUGAAAGUAAGACUAAAAUAUGUACCACACAUUGUAACAGUGUCUUCAAAAAGAAGCUCUGCUUUUAUUCCAAUGGUAGAAUGUAGUGACAGAAACAAGAAAGCUGGUGGGGUUCGUAAGGGUAAGUGUAAUUGUUUAUUACCCCAGAAGCCAGUGUAUUUGUUCAAAAUGCUGGAUUUGAUACAGAAAUUACCUUUUUUUCUAUGAGUGUCUGGGCAAUAAUGUUUCCUGAUUUCAGCAGCUGAUCUUGUACUUUGUCAACAACAGUUACUGUGUGCUGCUUUGUGCUAUCCAUUUCUGAUCAGAAAACAUUAGCAUGUUGCUUCCCUGAUGCUCUCUCUUCCCCUAUCAUCAGUUCAUUUUCUUUUAUUUCCAUUUUUUACCUUUGCUUUUCAUCUUUCACUUUUCUAACUCCACUGAUCCAACUGUUUUCUUUUCUGUUUGUCCUUGUAUUUUAUGUGCUGCUGUCCCAGGUUACCCAACUGAAGAUGGGCAAUGAUGCAUUUCUAAAAAGGCUUCCAGGAAAGUAGAUGCAGCUGUAAGCAUCUAUCAGUAAGUAGUUUUUUAACUACAAGUUCCAGUUAUACCAAAGG
Molecule: non-coding RNA, 2049 nt
Organism: Meleagris gallopavo (turkey)
Lineage: Eukaryota; Metazoa; Chordata; Aves; Galliformes; Phasianidae
Source: RefSeq, a predicted model, not a curated record